GAUCUCGGCUCAAGGGGGUCGGACGCGGCCUCAGUAUUGAUCUCACAAACAGACACGCGCCCGCCGCCCCCCCGCCCCCCGAUCUGCCACCGCCACCGCCACCGCCACCGCCGCCGCCGCCGCCGCCGCCGCCGCCGCCUCUGCCGCCGCUGCCGCCGCUGCUACCACCACCACCAGCCCCGCCGCUUCCUAGCAAGCUCACUGCUGCCCAAAAGCUCCCAGCCAGGGAACUCCACCAGCCUAUUUAUCUGAGCCCCGGGAAAGCUCCGUGACGUAGCUGCCCAUAUAUGGACAGACAAAGCCCAGCCGAAGGGGCGCGACGUCACAAUGGAAGCUCCUCACAAUGGAACAUUAGAAAGCAGGAAGCGGGCCGCAGCCAACGUGCGGCGCCCGCACCGCUCGCGGCUCUUGAAAAAAAGAGAAGGGGAGAAGAAACAAGAAGAAUGCGAGAAGAGAGAGGAAAGAAGGAUACAGCUGCAUGCAAAGCGCAAAGCGCGUAGCGUGGAGUCGAAACACCAGUAACUCAUUGUGUGUGUUUAUUUGAGGUUUGCGUUAGGAGAGCGCAUUGGGGAGAGGUGGGCGGUGGGGUGGGGUUGUUUGCAAGUGGUCUCCAACACCCCAGCAGUUAGAAAGAGAGUUGAAAACAUCUGGCGAAAUCCCUUUGCAGCCCGGGAACUGCUGGGGAACCCGGAAGGCGUGCGUUGCGCCCCUGCUACCUCAGCGGCUCCAGCGUUCGGGAUCCUAUCCGAGAUUAAGAGAAAGGGAGUGCUUCCCUUUGUGGGGGGAAGGAGGGGUGCGCGCAGGGUUGGGGGGGUGUUUCAACUUGUCAGAAUUCCUUGGUCCAAUAUCCCAAGAACUUUUGUGCCAACUUCACUCUGAUUCGCCGCCCCUGCCCCUCCCUGGGCCCCUGACCCGGCGCUGACUCUAGGCUGAGCGCAGUGGCGAGGAGAUUCGGAGCACCCCAGCAGUUGCGCCAAAGACAAGAGCCCCAUCCAUAUGGGGUCGAGGAUGUGCGGUUUUCGUGGUGAAGAGGAAAGAAUGAAGUUGAAGGGAUAGAUAAACACGUGCACUGAAUCCCCAGUAAAUUCCCUAACGGUUCCAAGCAGCCUCUGUGGCCACAGGAUGGCAGGAGGGCCCAGCAGGCCCGGGCGCAGUCGCUGUCUACUGCUGCCUGCGAAGGGCCCGCCAGAGUUCCAGAAGGAGGACGCCGAACCCACAGUCUCUGAGCCACUGGGGGCCUCCCCUAGUCUCUGCCCUCCCCCUCGCCUUCCACAGGGCUGUCCCCAUUGCUGCCUGCCGGCGCUCCGCAGUCAAGGGCGGCCUGUGUGCCGACCCGGAGCGCUUUCACCUCCCGGAGCGGCAGCAGAUCCCGGGGGCGGCUGCUGUGCUCCCUGGGGCCUGCUCCCGAGGCGCGCGCAGCCGGCCCGCGGGCGAGGGGGAGGAGAGGGCGGGAGCAUGGGGGUGCGACCCCAAAUCACAUCGGCUUGGCGGGGGAGGAUUCCCUCCUCGGUGGCCGCGUGGGCGCGGUGAAUCCCUCGUCCCCUCCUGGGGAGUCGGGGUUGGGGGAACGUGCAUUUCUCGGGGGGAGUGGGAGUGUUGACAAGGAAGAAGAGAGGAUCCCCGGGCCUCACGCCGUGGGAGGGCCACGCGGGCCGGGGACGUGUGGGAGGAACUCCCGAGCUGCACGUUGUGGUGGAGGUGGAUGACAACCUCGCUCCCCUCCCCUCCCCUCCACUCAGUGGAGGGCUGGGGACCGGAGGGCCCGGCCUCCCCCCAUCUUCUCCAGUUCUUAGGAAAGGAGGGAUUCCCGCCUCCCGCGAGCCCCCUCUCUCCACCCCCGCCGCCUCUCCCGCCAGGCUCCCCACUCCUAUACUAGGGAGCCACAGCGCCCCCCGGGCUGUCCUCCGCCAGCGCGGCUCAGGGAGGGAGAGCGCUGCAGCGGUCCCGCGCUCCGAUUCCGGUCCCAAGAUUUGCAUAUUUUGGCAUCCAGUGGAAAAGGAAAGAAGAACGGAACCCGCAGCCUUUAAAGGAACCGCACAGGCUGUAGCGUCACCCAGGGAGGCGGUGGGGGUGGGGGUGGGGGCCUGAAAAAUUAGCCAGCGGCUCUGGCCUCUGGCCGUAGAGCCCGGCAGCAGGGAGGGCCAGGGAGGGGCGGCAACCAGCGAGCUUCGGGCGCGCCAGUCCCAGACCUGGCCCCUCCAGAGUGCUUCCUGCUGCGCGUGCACCCGGAGGCUGCGGAGGGUCUCCACGGGUUCCUGCCUGGGGCCGGGAGACGCUGUGGGGUCCGCGGUCCUGGGCGAGCUGCAGGCCCGAAGGCUGCAGUGCCCAUGUCUCCCCGCGCGAGGCAGAGCUCAGCCUGCGGGGGUGGUGGGAAGGAAGUGAGAGGCCUCCGGGCCGCCCAGCUCAACUCCGGAGGACCCCACCGUGAUGCACCCACUUUCCACCUGUCAGGAUCUCUCCCCAGGAGGGGCUGCAGAGUGAGGAGCUAGAAGCCCUUAUCCUGUUCGACUGGGGCCUGAGUUGGGAAAGGCAGAGGCAGUGGAAGCAUUUGGGAUCCUUAAGCUUCCAGGGCCCCAGAGGCUGUGGAGUGCAGCCACUCCCAACUGGAGGAGACGGCCUCUCUCCCAACACUUUUCGGCACGCUGGACUUGUUGCUUCCAAGUAGAAGAGCAUGGGGCAAGGUUUGCUGACCUGCACCAGGGCUUGCUUACCCGUCAGCAAGAUUGGAUAGGAGUCUGGGGACACGAUUCCUUCCCUCUCCUUUCUACUAGUUCUUUGCAUAAAACGGGAGCCUUCAAUUCAAUUAAAGUCUUCAUUAAAGCUUCACUGUGACCUUGGGCAAACGUCUGUUUUUUUUUUCUUAGCCUCAGUUUCCUUGUCUGUAAAUUGGGAUAAU
This 2896-nucleotide long non-coding RNA is filed under the name Homo sapiens (human). Its description in RNAcentral is "HSALNT0345640". The record is from RNAcentral. Lineage: Eukaryota; Metazoa; Chordata; Mammalia; Primates; Hominidae.